RNAcentral lists this long non-coding RNA (349 nucleotides) under Brassica rapa (field mustard). RNAcentral's name for it is "long non-coding RNA (BRAP_LNC004897)". The record is from RNAcentral. Lineage: Eukaryota; Viridiplantae; Streptophyta; Magnoliopsida; Brassicales; Brassicaceae.
GCAUUAUCAACAAUAACCUAAAAUCUAGGUUUAUAAGGGGUUAUAAUUCUUUAAUAUGCAGUGUUUACUAUCGAUAAUCUCUCUCUUAGCCAGAACCCUUCAGAUGUCAAAUCCAAAUUAACUGUAUUCUAUUUUUGGAUAACAGAAAGGAGAAAACCCUAAAAUUACUUAAAACCCAGAUUUAUAAAUGGUUCUAAGUUGCCAAACUCAAUAUUCACUAUCAAAAUUGUUUCUUUUAGAUCAACAUGUUCAAAUAAGAAGUCUAAAGCAAUCUUGUUUGAUUGUUUCAUUGGAAACUUUUCCAGAAAUUAUAAGGAACCAAGAUAGACAGAACUGUCACUAAUCAGCC